Amphibalanus amphitrite is the source of this 1214-nucleotide long non-coding RNA. RefSeq lists it as uncharacterized. The transcript is spliced from 3 exons. The record is from RefSeq and is a predicted model, not a curated record. Lineage: Eukaryota; Metazoa; Arthropoda; Thecostraca; Balanomorpha; Balanidae.
GCUGAGGAAUAUUCAGUGCGGUAGAAUAAUGUAAAGGCGAAAGAGAGCGGACCACAACAGUGUGUGCCUUCUUCAAAAGCAGCGUCGAGGUCCGAUAGAAGCCUCAUCGCUUCUAAAGCGUGCGACAUCUCUGGAUCGUCAUUAGACCUUGGAGGACCGACGGGAGGCGCCGCUCCAGCCGCCUUUGAGAUGCGCGCUGCGUCGGCGACAUUACGUCAAAGCCUGUGGCUUGAUGUCCAGCCAGAUACAGGGCCGUGGAGACGGCCUCCAGACGAAUGGGGCCGCCACCGAACCGACCAGCUAUCCACCAUCUCGGGUCACGUGACCGGCCGGCUAUCACCCAUCAGAGGUCACGUGACCGGUCGGCUACUAUCUCGCAUCUCCAGACGACGGAGCAGCUAGUCUGCUUUCUCGUGGUCCUGACGAUGUCCGCGGAUUCACCCGGCGCGCCACAUUCCUGUUCGGGGGGAGCCGUACAUUCCUGGCGCUUUCCGACGCAUCGAGCGAGCUUCCAGAGCACAAAGAGCUCCCGACGGCAGCCUUUUUGACAGCGGGCACCUGCGCGACGGAGACGGCGCGGUGCCACGCAUUGUGGCGCGCCCGGCGGCGAUUGUGGCGCGCCGUUUUCCCAGCGGCGCCGCGCCCCGUUUCCGCUGCUAUUAUGCCGCGGGCCGCGGCGGGGGCCUGGUCGGCUCGGUUGCACGCUGUGUGAAGUCCAGGUGAAAAACGCAAGGGAGAAGGCUCAUGCUGAAAAAGAGGCGAAUUCCGCUGUUGUGGUGGGCUUCAGUGGUGUAUGCUGGUGUGCGCCCCUGUCGUGUGGGAAGAGGUUUUGAACAAGCAUUUGGUGUGUUUUGAAAUGUCUGAGGAGCGUGGGAGACAUUAAUAUGGCGGAAAUUGCUAAUCAGUGUCCAGCUUAGGAUCAGUGAUAAUUAAUCUUGCAUUAUUUUUAUGAGCCAAUCGUGAGGUUGUUAGAAUUACAUCUGUGGAUUUAUCUGAAUGCUUGUGGUUUUGCAAAUCGCCUGGCCUGGUGGCACAAUUGAAAAACGCCAGUUUUACGCCACUUUCAUAAGUGGAUACUACUUAGUACUUACCGACCAUACAACCAAGCUCUACAAGAAAGGUUACGAAUUCAUUAUUUUACGAUGCAUUUUAACAAAUAUUCAUAACAAAUGCUCCCAACAUAGGUUUCCACAAAAAAAUAUAGCGCAGCUAUA